Long non-coding RNA from Astyanax mexicanus (Mexican tetra), 604 nucleotides. RefSeq lists it as uncharacterized. NCBI's taxonomy places the organism in Eukaryota, Metazoa, Chordata, Actinopteri, Characiformes, Acestrorhamphidae. The record is from RefSeq and is a predicted model, not a curated record. The transcript is spliced from 10 exons.
AGGUGUUGAGGUGUUUGUGAAGGUGUUGAGGUGUUUGUGAAGGUGUUCAGGUGUUUGUGUAGGUGUUCAGGUGUUUGUGAGGGUGUUCAGGUGUUUGUGAGGGUGUUCAGGUGUUUGUGAGGGUGUUGAGGUGUUUGUGAGGGUGUUGAGGUGUUUGUGAAGGUGUUGAGGUGUUUGUGUAGGUGUUGAGGUGUUUGUGUAGGUGUUGAGGUGUUUGUGAAGGUGUUCAGGUGUUUGUGAAGGUGUUGAGGUGUUUGUGAGGGUGUUGAGGUGUUUGUGAAGGUGUUGAGGUGUUUGUGUAGGUGUUGAGGUGUUUGUGAAGGUGUUGAGGUGUUUGUGAAGGUGUUGAGGUGUUUGUGUAGGUGUUGAGGUGUUUGUGAAGGUGUUGAGGUGUUUGUGAAGGUGUUGAGGUGUUUGUGAGGGUGUUGAGGUGUUUGUGAGGGUGUUGAGGUGUUUGUGAAGGUGUUUGUAAAGGUGUUGAGGUGUUUUUUGAGUAGUUCAGAUGUUUGUGUAGGUGUUGAGGUGUUUUUUGAGUAGUUCAGAUGUUUGUGUAGGUGUUGAGGUGUUUUUUGAGUAGUUCAGGUGUUUGUGUAGGUGUUGAGGU